Monomorium pharaonis (pharaoh ant) is the source of this 172-nucleotide long non-coding RNA. RefSeq lists it as uncharacterized. The transcript is spliced from 2 exons. NCBI's taxonomy places the organism in Eukaryota, Metazoa, Arthropoda, Insecta, Hymenoptera, Formicidae. The record is from RefSeq and is a predicted model, not a curated record.
AAUAAAUUUCUAGUACAUCCAGCAUUUCAUUUCGCACGAGUCAGAUAACCUGGCUGCGUCACACUAGUACGGUAUCUUUUACCUCAAUGCUGUGAACGUCAUUUGAUUACGCUAGGAUAAUACACUAGGAAAAUGUAUGCGUAUGUAAUAAAGACAAUUUAUUAACCUCUGA